CAUCUACUUCUCAGACUUCUUAACCACAAACAAAGAGUGAGCGGAGCAACAACUUGAGGCUGCAUGGGAGAAUGGAGAUCCUUUGCGGCUCAUAAAGUCCCUUCUACAAAUCAGUUAUAUUCGAUGUGAGACUUUAAUGUUGUACACAGCCUUUACCAAAAGUGUCAUGGACUUUGAAGAUGCUCAGACUCAGGACGCAAGGGAGAAACAUGCUAAGAGGAAGGUACGAUUGGCAAACCCUCACUGUGAUUCAACUCCCGCCCAGAAACCUAUGUCCCCCACUGUGGAAGGAUGUGUGGAUCAAGAAUUGGCUUCCACAGACUCUUAACACAACACACAAAGUUAUGAAAGAUUUCCCUUCUCCCCUGCAUACAAGCACAGGCAAGACUUCAUGAAAUGUGUUUGAUUUCUCAGAAUUUUAAUUCUGGUGCGUCUGAAGCAAAACAGCAAGACAGAAACUUGGAAAAAUCAAGCUGGCAAACCUUCUUUGAAAUCAAUUAUUGCAAGAAUAGACUGGGGGUUUUUUGUUUGCUGUAUUGAAUAAAUCUGUUAGACACACAAGAUGGAUUAAUUCAAGUGAAAGUUCUAAUCUGGCUAGUAAAAUAAAAAUAUUUACAUAUCAAGUCUC
Podarcis raffonei (Aeolian wall lizard) is the source of this 628-nucleotide long non-coding RNA. RefSeq lists it as uncharacterized. The record is from RefSeq and is a predicted model, not a curated record. Lineage: Eukaryota; Metazoa; Chordata; Lepidosauria; Squamata; Lacertidae. The transcript has 2 exons.